Non-coding RNA from Aegilops tauschii subsp. strangulata, 1110 nucleotides. NCBI's taxonomy places the organism in Eukaryota, Viridiplantae, Streptophyta, Magnoliopsida, Poales, Poaceae. The record is from RefSeq and is a predicted model, not a curated record.
GCCACGCUCUGUGCCUCCAAAUAAAAUCCUAGCCCAAAAAAUCCCCAACAGAUACACCUGUACCAACUCGCACCUGACUCAGAUCUCAUCUCACCGGCGGCGCCUCCAAAUCACACGCCGCCAGCCGCGCCCCGAUGCCGACGUGCCAUGUUUGCUGCCUUGUCCGACCUCCAUGCUACCUCCACCGCCACUUCAUGGAUGGCUUGUCAACCAUCGCCCCAUCCAUCUCUGGCACCUUCCCCAUCUUCGUUUCUCACCGCGUGCCUCACCAAGAUCUGGACGCUGCCUCACCACCCCUCCAUGCCCACUACUUGAGAUGUAGAUGGUGAUUUAGAAGAUUGGUUUCGUCCAGCGACCAACAAGGCGGCGGCGGCAGGAGACACCAGGUUUGGGAGAGGCGACCCAAUGAUGCAGAUAGGCUAGGGGAUGGGUUGGAAACUCUGCAAGGAACCCGGCUACAGCACCAUUAGAUCUGCUCCCCUUCAACUACUCGAGGGUAAUAUUUCGCUGGUUCCUUUUUCUUCCAUAAUUUCCUGAUGUAAGAUUUGUGAUCUGGAAUUUGACUCUUCUAACCACCUAUUUGAGAUCUCCUUUUCCUAGUUGCAGUUCAUCUAGAUCAGGAGUAAGAUCAAUGUCCUUUGCUCUUAUCAAAGGCGCAUUAAUCGACUGCUCACCGUAGGUAGCAGGACUGGGUUUGCAAUAUCAAGAUAAUCUUAUCGACCUUGCUAUGUUGUUUAUAGGCAUUGGGGGGAGUUAGCUGUGAGAUUUGAAGCACAAGACAGAGCACUUGAAGAGAUGCAAAGGAAGCAUCAACAAGAAUUGGAAGCUGUGAAGAAGAGCCAACAGAAGAAGAAUGAAGCCUGGGAAAAGAAGCAACACAUGAUACAGUUAACCUGAUUGGUUUUCUAUUGAGGGCUCAAGCAACUCAACAAGAUUCCAUUGUCUUGUGUAUUGUCGUGUCAAACUUGAUUCGGUGUUAUUUUUUAUUUUCAUUUCUAUUUAGAGGAUGAUUUGCCUAAGAGAUUGAAUAUAUAAUAUGAUUUGUCUUUUGGUUCAUAAUGUGAUUUGGCUCACAAUUUAUUUAUAUAAUGUGAUGUGAUGUGAAUUAAA